GACGAACGCUGGCGGCGUGCUUAACACAUGCAAGUCGAACGAAGUGGCGAACGGGUGAGUAACGCGUAAUCAACCUGCUCUUACGCGGGGGACAACAGUUGGAAACGACUGCUAAUACCGCAUACUGAAGGAGGUGUUUGCGUCUGAUUAGCUAGUUGGAGGGGUAACGGCCCACCAUGGCGAUGAUCAGGAGCCGGGCUGAGAUGAUGAACGGGCAAAUGGGGACUGAGACACGGCCAAGACUGCUACGGGAGGCAGAAGUGGGGAAGCUACCGAAAUGGACGAAAGGCUGACGGAGCAACGCCGCGUGAGUGAUGACGGCCUUCGGGUUGUAAAGCUCUGUUAAUCGGGACGCGGUACCGGAAUAGAAAGCCACGGCUAACUACGUGCCAGCAGCCGCGGUAAUAC
This 408-nucleotide ribosomal RNA is filed under the name uncultured bacterium. RNAcentral's name for it is "partial 16S ribosomal RNA". It matches the Rfam family "Bacterial small subunit ribosomal RNA", at positions 28 to 526 of the family's 1533-position model. The record is from RNAcentral.